UCUGUUUCCUGUGAAUAACUGCUGCUUUGUCGUGCAGGAAGGACUGUAACUUAAAAGCAUUAGCAAUUGAGGAGUGCUUGGUCAGAGCGGCCAUAAGAACAUCACGAAUCUUCUGCAGUCUGCUCACUUCAUGCCACAUGGUUAUGAGGAUGAGGAGCAGGUGGCAGCUGCCCUGACCAAAUCAGCUUUGCUGUACAGAGCAGGUCUCAUACCAAGACAAUCCAGAGCAAAUGGUGCAGCAGAAGCUAGAAGGGCCCAGCACCUACAUUAGGUGUGCUGUAUUAGAUUCCUUCAUAUGAGGUAUUUCUUUUUAAUGAUGUCUUCCACUACCUGCCUUCCAAAUUAAAUCCAGAAUGAUAUGCUCCAAGACACAGCAAAAUGGAAGACUAAGAGAAUUACUCAUCAAAAUCCUUUAUCUGGGCUUGCUGCAUUCAGUGAACACCACUAGAAUUUAGCUUUACACCACAAAACCAUGGGCUUUUAAGGUAAAAAUCUGCCUCAUUUUGGCAAAAGAUUAAGCUUCAACAUUAGAGUUGAUUAAUUUGAAGAGUGUUUCUAGAUGAUGGAGAUCACAGUA
Molecule: long non-coding RNA, 577 nt
Organism: Pogoniulus pusillus (Red-fronted tinkerbird)
Lineage: Eukaryota; Metazoa; Chordata; Aves; Piciformes; Lybiidae
Exons: 3
Source: RefSeq, a predicted model, not a curated record